UUCUCUAAUGAUGAUUGGCGUUAUGUUCAACUGCUCUGAAAAGCUGUGAUUGAACACUGCCUUUCUGAAUGGAC
Molecule: small nucleolar RNA, 74 nt
Organism: Astyanax mexicanus (Mexican tetra)
Lineage: Eukaryota; Metazoa; Chordata; Actinopteri; Characiformes; Acestrorhamphidae
Source: Ensembl